Molecule: small RNA, 110 nt
Filed under: Paucilactobacillus suebicus
Lineage: Bacteria; Bacillati; Bacillota; Bacilli; Lactobacillales; Lactobacillaceae
Description: Lactobacillus suebicus SAM-III sequence
Rfam family: SAM-III riboswitch aptamer (SMK box)
Source: RNAcentral
UCUCGUUAUGAGUAUUCCCGAUAGGAUUCACUACCUGUGAAGAAGCCUUGUAACCGAUAAUAUUAAUUGCCGAAUCAAAUAGGAUGACGCAAAAUGGGGGAAUUAUUUUG